Molecule: ribosomal RNA, 235 nt
Filed under: uncultured Actinomycetales bacterium
Lineage: Bacteria; Bacillati; Actinomycetota; Actinomycetes; Actinomycetales
Description: partial 16S ribosomal RNA
Rfam family: Bacterial small subunit ribosomal RNA
Source: RNAcentral
UGGCGAACGGGUGAGUAACACGUGGGUGAUCUGCCCUGCACUCUGGGAUAGGCCUGGGAAACUGGGUCUAAUACCGGAUAGGACCAUGCUUUAGUGUGUGUGGUGGAAAGUUUUUUCGGUGUAGGAUGAGCCCGCGGCCUAUCAGCUUGUUGGUGGGGUAAUGGCCUACCAAGGCGGCGACGGGUAGCCGGACUGAGAGGUUGGUCGGCCACAUUGGGACUGAGAUACGGCCCAG